Molecule: small nucleolar RNA, 121 nt
Filed under: Nannospalax galili (Upper Galilee mountains blind mole rat)
Lineage: Eukaryota; Metazoa; Chordata; Mammalia; Rodentia; Spalacidae
Description: Small nucleolar RNA SNORA5 (ENSNGAG00000007900.1)
Rfam family: Small nucleolar RNA SNORA5
About the family: ACA5 is a member of the H/ACA class of snoRNA that guide the sites of modification of uridines to pseudouridines.
Source: Rfam by way of RNAcentral
UGCAGUCAAGGCAAAUUCAGUUUCCAUCCAGUCAUGGUGGGAGGUGGCCAAGAUGGCUACCACAGUAACUGCUGCUGCUUAUGUCCCUGGGACCUGGGGAUAAGUUUGGCCACAGGCAUUU